RNAcentral lists this ribosomal RNA (698 nucleotides) under Creaserinus trinensis. RNAcentral's name for it is "partial 28S large subunit ribosomal RNA". The stretch from base 262 to 698 matches the Rfam family "Eukaryotic large subunit ribosomal RNA", at positions 665 to 886 of the family's 3401-position model. Lineage: Eukaryota; Metazoa; Arthropoda; Malacostraca; Decapoda; Cambaridae. The record is from RNAcentral.
CCCACGCCGGCGUCGGCGGGCGUAUUUCGCCUCACAGUAGGUCGCCGCGACCCGUUGCUUUUGGGGACGUCGAAGGCCCGGACGGAUUGGUACCCUACCGGCUGGGGAUGCGGCUUCGGCUUCUCCUCUUGUCCGGUGGGCGAAACCGCCGGUGUCCUGGCUGCCCUGCGACGGUCGUAGAGACGAGCCCUCCCCUUCGGGGGGGCGGCUCUCGCGGCGUGCAAAAGGUCGGUGAUCCACCCGACCCGUCUUGAAACACGGACCAAGGAGUCUAACAUGUGUGCGAGUCAGUGGGCGCACUAAACCCAGAGGCGUAAUGAAAGUGACACGGGUUCGGCUGUCGCCUCGUGUGGCAGCCGGACUCAGGGCCGAUCCCUCACCGGUUGCCCUCGCCUCUCUCCCGCGUCUCGGUAAGCCGGGUGAGCUAUUUUCCCCGGCCGCUGCUGCGGGGCUCGGGGGGAGGCGGGGUUGCGAUGGUGUCCGUAAAAAAGAGCCUGCUGUUGCAGGGGGGCGCAGGCCCGGGACUUGCCAGGACGCCGCGAGACUGUCACUUUGCUGUGAGGCUCUCGGGUCGAUCAGCGGGUCAUGCGUGCAGUCGGCAAGUACCAUGAGCAGACAUGUUGGGACCCGAAAGAUGGUGAACUAUGCCUGGCCAGGAUGAAGCCAGAGGAAACUCUGGUGGAGGUCCGUAGCGAUUC